CAGCAGCCGCGGGAAUACAGAGGAUUUAAGCGUUACCCGGAAUGAUUGGGCGUAAAGCGUCUGUAGGUGGCUUUUCAAGUCCGUCGUCAAAUCCCAGGGCUCAACCCUGGACAGGCGGUGGAAACUACCAAGUUGGAGUACGGUAGGGGCAGAGGGAAUUUCCGGUGUAGCGGUGAAAUGCGCAGAUACCGGGAGGAACGCCGAUGGCGAAGGCAGCCACCUGGUCCACUUCUGAUGCUGAGGCGCGAAAGCGUGGGGAGCAAACCGGAUUAGAUACCCCCGUAGUCCCUGUCUCUUAUAC
This 301-nucleotide ribosomal RNA is filed under the name uncultured bacterium. RNAcentral describes it as "partial 16S ribosomal RNA". It matches the Rfam family "Bacterial small subunit ribosomal RNA", at positions 509 to 807 of the family's 1533-position model. The record is from RNAcentral.